Molecule: transfer RNA, 78 nt
Filed under: Bacillus smithii
Lineage: Bacteria; Bacillati; Bacillota; Bacilli; Caryophanales; Bacillaceae
Description: tRNA-OTHER
Rfam family: tRNA
About the family: Transfer RNA (tRNA) molecules are approximately 80 nucleotides in length. Their secondary structure includes four short double-helical elements and three loops (D, anti-codon, and T loops). Further hydrogen bonds mediate the characteristic L-shaped molecular structure. tRNAs have two regions of fundamental functional importance: the anti-codon, which is responsible for specific mRNA codon recognition, and the 3' end, to which the tRNAs corresponding amino acid is attached (by aminoacyl-tRNA synthetases). tRNAs cope with the degeneracy of the genetic code in two manners: having more than one tRNA (with a specific anti-codon) for a particular amino acid; and 'wobble' base-pairing, i.e. permitting non-standard base-pairing at the 3rd anti-codon position.
Source: RNAcentral
GUUGAUGAAUUGCCACCAAUGCACGACUCAAAAUCGUGUUCCCUUGCAGGAGUGUGGGUUCGACUCCCACCAUCGGCA